AACGAACGCUGGCGGCAUGCCUAACACAUGCAAGUCGAACGAGACCUUCGGGUCUAGUGGCGAACGGGUGCGUAACGCGUGGGAACCUGCCCUUAGGUUCGGAAUAACUCCCCGAAAGGGGUGCUAAUACCGGAUAAUGUCUUCGGACCAAAGAUCUAUCGCCUUUGGAUGGGCCCGCGUUGGAUUAGCUAGUUGGUAGGGUAAAAGCCUACCAAGGCGACGAUCCAUAGCUGGUCUGAGAGGAUGAUCAGCCACACUGGGACUGAGACACGGCCCAGACUCCUACGAGAGGGAGCAGGGGGGAAUAUUGGACAAGGGGCGAAAGCCUGAUCCAGCAAUGCCGCGUGAGUGAUGAAGGCCUUAGGGUUGUAAAGCUCUUUUACCCGGGAUGAUAAUGACAGUACCGGGAGAAUAAGCUCCGGCUAACUCCGUG
RNAcentral lists this ribosomal RNA (433 nucleotides) under uncultured bacterium. RNAcentral's name for it is "partial 16S ribosomal RNA". It matches the Rfam family "Bacterial small subunit ribosomal RNA", at positions 29 to 507 of the family's 1533-position model. The record is from RNAcentral.